AGAAGGAGGAGGACACACCCCGGGGCCAAAAGCCAGGCAGCCGCCAGCCAAGCAUAGCAACAGCAGGAAGGCGAGAUAUAUAGAAGGAGAGAAAGCACCGAGAGCUCCAGGAAAGCAGGGCCCUUACCCUCCUGUGAUCUGACCCCAAGCCGAUGUGGUUUGCAUCUGGGAAACUCAAUCCCCAGUCAGCCUCUUGGGAGUGGACAUGGGACCUGUUGUGUUGACGCUGCUAAUGCUCAUGGCACAUACCUAUAGUCGCAGCUAUCCAGGAUUGCAAAUCAAGGCCUGCCCGGCUACACACGAGUUCAAGGCCAACCAGUGUAACUUGG
This 329-nucleotide long non-coding RNA is filed under the name Cricetulus griseus (Chinese hamster). RNAcentral's name for it is "lncRNA (ENSCGRG00015034290.1)". The record is from RNAcentral. Lineage: Eukaryota; Metazoa; Chordata; Mammalia; Rodentia; Cricetidae.